CCUACGGGAGGCAGCAGUAGGGAAUAUUGCUCAAUGGGGGAAACCCUGAAGCAGCAACGCCGCGUGGAGGAUGAAGGUUUUCGGAUUGGAAAAUUCUUUUGUUAGAGAAGAUAAUGACAGUAUCUAACGAAUAAGCAACGGCUAAUUCCGUGCCAGCAGCCGCGGUAAUACGGAGGGUGCAAGCGUUACUCGGAAUCACUGGGCGUAAAGAGGGCGUAGGGGGGAUAACAAGUCAGAUGUGAAAGCUUAUGGCUUAACCAUAGAACUGCAUUUGAAACUGUUAUUCUAGAGUAUGGGAGAGGUAGGUGGAAUUCUUGGUGUAGGGGUGAAAUGCGUAGAGAUCGAGAAGAAU
RNAcentral lists this ribosomal RNA (352 nucleotides) under uncultured bacterium. RNAcentral's name for it is "partial 16S ribosomal RNA". It matches the Rfam family "Bacterial small subunit ribosomal RNA", at positions 338 to 707 of the family's 1533-position model. The record is from RNAcentral.